CCUACGGGAGGCAGCAGUGGGGAAUAUUGCACAAUGGGGGAAACCCUGAUGCAGCGACGCCGCGUGGGUGACGAAGUAUUUCGGUAUGUAAAGCCCUAUCAGCAGGGAAGAAGAUGACAGUACCUGACCAAGAAGCCCCGGCUAACUACGUGCCAGCAGCGGCGGUAAUACGUAGGGGGCAAGCGUUAUCCGGAUUUACUGGGUGUAAAGGGAGCGUAGGUGGCAUGGCAAGCCAGAAGUGAAAACCCGGGGCUUAACCCCGCGGAUUGCUUUUGGAACUGUCAGGCUGGAGUGCAGGAGGGGCAGGCGGAAUGCCUGGUGUAGCGGUGAAAUGCGUAGAUAUCAGGAGGAACACCGGUGGCGAAGGCGGCCUGCUGGACUGUAACUGACACUGAGGCUCGAAAGCGUGGGGAGCAAACAGGAUUAGAUACCCUUGUAGUC
RNAcentral lists this ribosomal RNA (441 nucleotides) under uncultured bacterium. Its description in RNAcentral is "partial 16S ribosomal RNA". It matches the Rfam family "Bacterial small subunit ribosomal RNA", at positions 338 to 795 of the family's 1533-position model. The record is from RNAcentral.